This 594-nucleotide long non-coding RNA is filed under the name Homo sapiens (human). Its description in RNAcentral is "non-protein coding lnc-POTEI-2:5". The record is from RNAcentral. Lineage: Eukaryota; Metazoa; Chordata; Mammalia; Primates; Hominidae.
ACAACGCCAUUAUUGACGAGAUCACUCCCAAGCGGAUUGGAGAUUGUCCCAAUACUUAGACCUAUAGCAAGGCCUUGGGAGAAAUGGUGGUGCAGCAGGAGAGCAGGAACCUAACCAUUGCCAUCCUAAGGCCCUGCAUUGUGCAGAGCAACGUGGCACCAGCUUUUCCUGGGUUGGGUUGAUAAUCUAAAUGGAUGUAGCUGACUCAUUAUUGCGGUAUGUAUAGGCUGGGAAAGGGUUUCUUCUGUCCAUAAAAGCUACUCCAAUGGCUGUGGGAGACUUAAUUCCAAUUCCAGGUGAUACAGCCGUCAGUCUCCCACUAGCUGUAGGAUGGUGUGCUGCAGUUCACAGACCUAAGUCAAUGUUAGUCUACCACUGUACGUCUGGUAACCUCAAUCCCUGCAACCGGAGCAAAAUGUGAUUCCAGGUCUUGGCAACCUCUGAAAUUCCAACUCCAUUUGCGAGAGCUUUGAGGAGGCCAUAUGCUGAUUUCACCACAAGCAACUUCACAACCCAGUACUGGAAUGCCAUCAGCCAGCAGGCCCCUGCCAUUAUCUGUGACUUCUAUCUGUGGCUCAUUGGAAGGAAACCCAG